CAGCCCCUGGGCUUCCACUGAAACUAAUACUGGAUCCAACUUUUAACACUGAUAAUAUGUUGCCACCAAAUUGAAAACGUAAACAAGAUAUUCUAAGUGUGAUUAGAGUAUAUGCAACACAAGGAAGAAGCAGAACAUUCUUUUCCGGAAUCUGACAACGUGGCCGCAGUGUUUUUACUGGGAACAUUGAUUUCAGAUGUAUGUGAAAUACAAUAAACCGAAAACUAGAGACAGAUGAGACAGAGAGAGGUUAAUUAGAAAAAGAUUAUGGUAUCUAAGCAAAAUCUAGCCUCCUAGGCCCACCUUAAUCCCUCUUAAAUCCCCCAUCCCAACUCUGUUAACUAGUUAUCGUUCUCUUCUGAAGAGAUCGCACCUUCCUUGUGGUUCUCAGGGAUCCUCCCCAGCUCUUACUCUACUCCCCAUCCCGCGCACUGGGAUAGCCCCAUGCCCAUGUCCUUCCCCGCAGGCAGUGUUUCCAGCGAGGUGGUCCCACUGAACUUCUAGGGAUUUGGGGCAGAAAGCGAAUAUCCCAGAGUCCCAGAGCCCACGGGAGUUACUCUGGAGGGCCAGCCACAGAGGCGCACCAGUGGGUAACCAGCCACCUCCCACCACCCACCACCCGGAGGCUGGGCCAGCCCCUUUUUUCCGGACUCGGGAUCGACCUGGAGCUCCGAGAAUUUUCCUGGCCCAGUCAAGCAUGAAAAGGGUUCGCCGAUCUCGAGAAGCCAGAGAACCAGGGCUGCAGGCACCUCCCCGCCUGCUCUCCCGCUCCUGGCACAACCGUCUGACCAGCCUGCCGAGCCCCACCGCCCGCGCCGCGCCCCCGGCCGCCCCCGGCGCUCCCCGGCUCCUGCGGGCAGCGCUGCUGCUCCUGCUCCUGGUCGCCGCCGGCCAGCGUGCCGCAGGUGAGUCCCGGCAUACUGGGGUCCCCGGGGUGGGACGCGGCUGGAGUGGGCGCCCAGCACCUACGACUCCCCUCACCCAGCGAAUCUCUUCUUCCCUAGGAGAAUCCGUGGUCAAUGAACUGAGCUGCCAAUGCUUGCAGAUCCUGCAGAGAAUUCACCGCCAAGAACACGUGAAAUGUGAACAAGUCCCCAGGAUCCCACUGCGCCCAAACCGAAGGUUUUGGGGUACAUGUGAAGAAUAUGCAAGAUAGUUGCACAGGAUAAUGUUUAUCUCACUCCCUAACGGGCUUCAGACCUGAAAACUGAAUCUCCCUGAUUUGAGGCACAGUGGAACUCUUAAGUCUUCAUGGUGAAGAGUAGAGACUUUGCAGUAAGACCCUCACGAGUUGUUCGAGGCUCUAUGUCUUAGUAUCCUGAGUCUUAACAAACUGUGAAAACAAUAAAAACUACUUCAAAAGGUUUGCUAUAAACCUUAUGUGAGGUCAUGCAUGUAGAUUUUUAACCCAUUUAUAACCUUUGUUUCACUUUUUGAAGCAAAUAAUACAGUUGUAAUCACAGAUCCUCUAUUUCUAGUUAAAUAGUAUCCAGAAGCCUGGGGUUUUAUUUUGCUACACAGAACAACUCUCAUACCGGUAAUAACCACUUAGUGAGGGGCUAGAAGGAACGACCACGUUUGAAAAACCAUAGAAGGUAAGGAUCUAAGGCAGGAACAGGUGUCUGCAUGGUCAGUUUCUUGAGUAGCUACUGACAGCUAUCAUUUUUUCACCACAGGGGCAACACCAACUGACCUAGAGGGAAGGAGGAAGCAUAUCAGCUGCAAUUCCUAAAGGAGGUCUAUUCUUAGAGGAAUCAAAAUGAAAGAGAAAAAAAUUAGUUCCUGGGCACACCUGGACUUUGUUUAAUGUGUUUAACUGUUUCUUAUGAAGGUAGUUCUAAUUAUGUAUGUAUGUAUUUUUCAAAGCCUGUAUGUUAAGGUUCUUUCUGAUAUUGAAAGAUAUGGAUAUGUUUGUUAAUUCACUGUAAUGUUAUUCUGAAAGUUAUUUUUUGUGUUAAAUCAAAGUUUAGUCCUUACUGUCAUCUAACUUGAAGAUGAUGGAUUUUACAUGUUCUCUAUUCGUUAAGUGGUGAUGGAGAGUUCACAUCAUGUCAGACAUUGUGAUAGUGGCUGAAAAUAAAUAGUGGGGAUCCAAGCUGAUAGAUCCCUGUUAAGAUAAAGGCAUGUAUGUCCCAUCUCUUGUAACUGUUUAGAAGAAUGUCAGUUGUUAUUUAUCAAAACUUCCAACAUAUCUGAUAUUGAAGCUUUAAAAACUACAAUGUCCUAAUUAUCCUUUGGAUAUUUUAUGUCUUCCUUGUGAGGCAUAAUGCUUUAUUUUGUAUUAAUUAUGCAAUGAUUCUCUAUGAUUUGGAAUAAUAUAGUUUAUUUACUGAUGUAUUUUAACACAAAAAAUACAUGAAAAUAAAACCUUUCCAAAAAAAUCACACCU
Molecule: long non-coding RNA, 2389 nt
Filed under: Callithrix jacchus (white-tufted-ear marmoset)
Lineage: Eukaryota; Metazoa; Chordata; Mammalia; Primates; Cebidae
Description: lncRNA (ENSCJAG00000082737.1)
Source: RNAcentral